This is a long non-coding RNA of Haplochromis burtoni (Burton's mouthbrooder), 1617 nucleotides long. RefSeq lists it as uncharacterized. The transcript is spliced from 2 exons. Lineage: Eukaryota; Metazoa; Chordata; Actinopteri; Cichliformes; Cichlidae. The record is from RefSeq and is a predicted model, not a curated record.
UAUUGUUACCUACAUUUUUUUUAAUUGCAUUUAUGCUGUUUUGAAUCGCUUAAUUGGCUAACAAAACCUGUAUAUAUGUUAAGUGCAAUUACUGAAGGAAUCAUACAGCUAAACUGACUGAUUUAAUUAUUUCUACUUGAUUCAAAAUGUUCUUUUUAUAUUUGGUUAUAUUAUUUUUAAAGUGUUCUCAAUAUCCUGAAAAGGUAUGAUUAUAAUAACAGUAUUUAACCAGGGAUUAUUCUUGCAAAAGUUGAUAAAAAUUUAGGUUUUCAAGUCUUCAGAAGCUUUCCUUGUUGUUUUUGUAGCACCACGAGACCCAGGGUGGUCAUUAUGUUGUGGGAUUUAUGUGGCGUCUGUUUGUGUAGUGCUUCGGAUAUGCAUGGCGAGUGCCUGUGGCAGUUAAACCAGCAUAAAAUGCUUCGGAGUUGCAUGUUUCCUACAAAAAGCCAAGAACACGUAGGCCGAUGUUGAGUGAGGCAGAAUGCUGAUUGGUUGAAAAGUUGGCUUGAAUAGUAAAGUUUGGAGUUCUUAUCUUUAUGAAGAUCUUAUCACAAAGCAGUCACGCCUUGGUCCCUGUGACUGUAAUGACCCGCGCCUCGAUCUACUAUGAAGAUCUUAUCUACACGAAGCUUCUUAAGUUAUAAAGACUGAUGGAGAGUUCUGACUGAUGGAGACUGAUGUGAGUUAUCCGGAUACAUUCAAAAACAGUGUUUUUGUCUGAAAACGGUCCGCAUCUACACUAUCGUUUUCAGUCGUUUCAGAACACUUGAAAGUUUUUUUAAAUGGACUUACAAUGCGGUGGAGUUGUUGCUGUGACUAUAACGACCCAAACCUUUGAUUCACACCUUAUCUCAUGUCACCCUUAACGAUUAUGUUGACAGUGACCGUGAGGACAACCUCAACUAGGGGUAAACUUUUGGGACUCCUCUCUCUCUUUACUCCUGAGAGGUGAAACUUCUUCAUGAACCAAAAAGAAAUCCAGGUUCUGUAAAAUGCCCGAAUUUGCAUAAAGUUGCAAGUUUUUCUUUUACAGUGCGGCAAAUUUUGUCCAUAAACUGAUUUGUCUUUUAAAAAUUUAGAAGCGGACACACUUUCUUAAUGCCGCUCAUUUUCAGACAAUAACUAGAUGUUGGAAGAGUACUUGCGCCACAUCAGAAGCUUCUAUUUUUGUAGAAGCGAUUUCUGUGCCGCUUCAUGCCUAAAAUCAAAAUUUUAGUGGCUCGUGGUGCUGUUACGCCUGUACGAGCCACAGAAAGAAGAAUAGAACUAGAAUUACUAGAAUAGAAUCUAGUUUUUAAAAAAUCCUUCUAUAAAAAUCAUGAUUUAUACUUGCUCUACAGCUCCUUAGAGACCCAUUCAUUCUGUACUAUCUUAAAGUUCAAACAGUGGGAGUUCCCUGCAGGGGCUGAACUUGAACAACCAACUUGAGCACAUAAAUCUUCGAUCCACUUAUUUCUGACACUGCCCCCUGGUGAUUGUAUACAGGGACAGCAUGCAAACGCGGGCCUGCAUAGCUCUCUUCCUUUGGGGCCUGUAUUCAUGCUGGUAACCUCACAUAAAUCCCAGCGGUGCUUUUACAUAACUCCAAUCCGAACAAUUUUAACAAGCCACAAAACU